GCUAAGAAUAUUCCGCAAUGGACGAAAGUCUGACGGAGCGACGCCGCGUGGAUGAUGAAGGCCGAAAGGUUGUAAAGUCCUUUUGCUGGGGAAGAAUAAGCGUGGGAGGGAAUGCCCGCGUGAUGACAUGAACCGGCGAAUAAGCCCCGGCUAACUACGUGCCAGCAGCCGCGGUAACACGUAGGGGGCAAGCGUUGUUCGGAAUUACUGGGCGUAAAGGGCAUGUAGGCGGCCUUGUAAGCUUGGCGUGAAAGUCCACGGCUUAACCGUGGGAUUGCGUUGAGAACUGCGAGGCUUGAGUGACGGAGAGGGAGCUAGAAUUCCUGGUGUAGGGGUGGAAUCUGUAGAUAUCAGGAAGAAUACCAAUGGCGAAGGCAAGCUCCUGGCCGAUGACUGACGCUGAGGUGCGAAAGUGUGGGGAUCAAACAGGAUUAGAUACCCGAGUAGUCC
Molecule: ribosomal RNA, 450 nt
Filed under: uncultured bacterium
Lineage: Bacteria
Description: partial 16S ribosomal RNA
Rfam family: Bacterial small subunit ribosomal RNA
Source: RNAcentral